RNAcentral lists this transfer RNA (63 nucleotides) under Rattus norvegicus (Norway rat). It matches the Rfam family "tRNA". From Rfam's summary of the family: Transfer RNA (tRNA) molecules are approximately 80 nucleotides in length. Lineage: Eukaryota; Metazoa; Chordata; Mammalia; Rodentia; Muridae. The record is from Rfam by way of RNAcentral.
GGGGACUUAGCUCAGUGGUAGAGCGCUUGCCUAGCAAGCGCAAGGCCCUGGAUUCAGUCCUCA